CAGCCGCGGUAAUACGUAGGGUGCGAGCGUUAAUCGGAUUUAUUGGGUUUAAAGGGUGCGUAGGCGGCCUAGUAAGUCAGAGGUGAAAGACGGUAGCUCAACUAUCGCAGUGCCUUUGAAACUGCCGGGCUUGAAUGUACUUGAGGUGGGCGGAAUGUGACAAGUAGCGGUGAAAUGCAUAGAUAUGUCACAGAACCCCGAUUGCGAAGGCAGCUCACUAAAGUAUGAUUGACGCUGAUGCACGAAAGCGUGGGGAUCAAAC
This 262-nucleotide ribosomal RNA is filed under the name uncultured bacterium. RNAcentral describes it as "partial 16S ribosomal RNA". It matches the Rfam family "Bacterial small subunit ribosomal RNA", at positions 512 to 773 of the family's 1533-position model. The record is from RNAcentral.